UCCCAUGUGGCUCAGUUGGUAGAGCAUGGCGUUUGCAACGCCAGGGUUGUGGGUUCGAUUCCCACGGGGGAC
Non-coding RNA from Salmo salar (Atlantic salmon), 72 nucleotides. The record is from Rfam. Lineage: Eukaryota; Metazoa; Chordata; Actinopteri; Salmoniformes; Salmonidae.